GAAGGCUCCAAUCGAAGCCAUGCCUGCUUCCCUAUAGCGGUGAAUGGUCAACAGGAUGCUGAGAUAAGACUUGCACCGACGGUCGCUGUUCAGUUCUAACGUAACUGUUCCAGCAACAUUUAGAGAAAAAAACAAU
This is a small nucleolar RNA of Phyllopteryx taeniolatus (common seadragon), 136 nucleotides long. NCBI's taxonomy places the organism in Eukaryota, Metazoa, Chordata, Actinopteri, Syngnathiformes, Syngnathidae. The record is from RefSeq and is a predicted model, not a curated record.